GAAGCUCCUUUCAGAUAGAGACAAGGGAUAUUUGACUUCUUAUCUCUGUUGUCCAGCACAAUGUCCAGAACACAACAGAUAUUCCAUAUGCACAGUCACAUGCUAUGUAUGUGUAUUUUCUUUCCAGAAAGGACUAGAGGUCCUAAGCUUUGUUAAUAUCAUGAGCCAGUGCCCACAUGAGCAGGAGAAUUUUAGCACAGUCACCUACACACUCAUUUCGAUGCUCUGACCCCUUAUCCAAGCCAGUCAAAGUGUGGUCUAUGGUUUUGCAUUUUAAAGAGAUCCCUGGGUGAAUCUUGUGCAUGUUACAGGGAAGCACUGUCCUACAUCCUAUGUGACAGGCUCUCAUAGUCACCAUCAUCAUGGGAAUCUUGCACAUGUUACAGGGAAGCACUGUCCUACAUCAUAUGUGACAGGCUCUCAUAGUCACCAUCAUCACGGGAAUCUUGCACAUGUUACAGGGAAGCACUGUCCUACAUCGUAUGUGACAGGCUCUCAUAAUCACCAUCAUCAUGUGAUCUUGUGCAUGUUACAGGGAAGCACUGUUCUACAUCGUAUCUGACAGGCUCUCAUAGUCACCGUCAUCACGGGAAUCUUGUGCAUGUUACAGGGAAGCACUGUCCUACAUCGUAUCUGACAGGCUCUCAUAGUCACCGUCAUCACGGGAAUCUUGCACAUGUUACAGGGAAGCACCGUCCUACAUCAUAUGUGACAGGCUCUCAUAGUCACCAUCAUCACAGGAAUCUUGUGCAUGUUACAGGGAAGGCUCUCAUAAUCACCAUCAUCACGGGAAUCUUGUGCAUGUUGCAGGGAAGCACUGUCCUACAUCAUAUGUGACAGGCUCUCAUAGUCACCAUCAUCACGGGAAGCUGCAUUUAGAGCAUUUAACUGUAUGGGCUCUGAAAUCAGAUGACUUAGGUUUGGGCUUGCCUCUACUUCUUACUAAGCAGAGAACUUUGGGGCAUGAUACUUAAUUUUACUAGGCUCAGUUUUAUCAUGUGUAAAUUGGAGGCAAGGGGAAAUUAUAGCAUUUUGCAUAGAAUAUUGUUUUAAGUAUGAA
RNAcentral lists this long non-coding RNA (1060 nucleotides) under Homo sapiens (human). RNAcentral's name for it is "HSALNT0082705". The record is from RNAcentral. Lineage: Eukaryota; Metazoa; Chordata; Mammalia; Primates; Hominidae.